CGCUAUCACUCCUACGGGGAGGCAGCAGUAGGGAAUCUUCCACAAUGGGCGCAAGCCUGACGGAGCAACACCGCGUGAGUGAAGAAGGGUUUCGGCUCGUAAAGCUCUGUUGUUUAAAGAAGAACACGUAUGAGAGUAACUGUUCAUACGUUGACGGUAUUUAACCAGAAAGUCACGGCUAACUACGUGCCAGCAGCCGCGGUAAUACGUAGGUGGCAAGCGUUAUCCGGAUUUAUUGGGCGUAAAGAGAGUGCAGGCGGUUUUCUAAGUCUGAUGUGAAAGCCUUCGGCUUAACCGGAGAAGUGCAUCGGAAACUGGAUAACUUGAGUGCAGAAGAGGGUAGUGGAACUCCAUGUGUAGCGGUGGAAUGCGUAGAUAUAUGGAAGAACACCAGUGGCGAAGGCGGCUACCUGGUCUGCAACUGACGCUGAGACUCGAAAGCAUGGGUAGCGAACAGGAUUAGAUACCCUGGUAG
Molecule: ribosomal RNA, 475 nt
Filed under: uncultured bacterium
Lineage: Bacteria
Description: bacterial SSU rRNA
Rfam family: Bacterial small subunit ribosomal RNA
Source: RNAcentral